RNAcentral lists this ribosomal RNA (425 nucleotides) under uncultured bacterium. RNAcentral's name for it is "partial 16S ribosomal RNA". It matches the Rfam family "Bacterial small subunit ribosomal RNA", at positions 354 to 796 of the family's 1533-position model. The record is from RNAcentral.
GUGGGGAAUCUUGCGCAAUGGGCGAAAGCCUGACGCAGCCAUGCCGCGUGGAUGAUGAAGGUCUUAGGAUUGUAAAAUCCUUUCACCGGUGAAGAUAAUGACUGUAGCCGGAGAAGAAGCCCCGGCUAACUUCGUGCCAGCAGCCGCGGUAAUACGAAGGGGGCUAGCGUUGCUCGGAUUUACUGGGCGUAAAGGGCGCGUAGGCGGACAUUUAAGUCAGGGGUGAAAUCCCGGGGCUCAACCUCGGAACUGCCUUUGAUACUGGGUGUCUUGAGUACGGGAGAGGUGAGUGGAACUCCGAGUGUAGAGGUGAAAUUCGUAGAUAUUCGGAAGAACACCAGUGGCGAAGGCGACUCACUGGCCCGUUACUGACGCUGAGGCGCGAAAGCGUGGGGAGCAAACAGGAUUAGAUACCCUAGUAGUCC